AUACUAUGAUGGUUGCAUAGUUCAGCAGAUUGACUUGUGACGAGAUGUACCAUUUGUCUGAUGUGUCU
RNAcentral lists this small nucleolar RNA (68 nucleotides) under Pteropus alecto (black flying fox). RNAcentral describes it as "Small nucleolar RNA SNORD77". It matches the Rfam family "Small nucleolar RNA SNORD77". From Rfam's summary of the family: U77 belongs to the C/D family of snoRNAs. It is predicted to guide 2'O-ribose methylation of large 28S rRNA subunit at position A1521. The C/D snoRNAs U44, U47, U74, U75, U76, U78, U79, U80 and U81 share the same host gene as U77 (non-coding). Lineage: Eukaryota; Metazoa; Chordata; Mammalia; Chiroptera; Pteropodidae. The record is from Rfam by way of RNAcentral. RNAcentral also lists the same sequence under 2 other names.